GAGCCUUCCCAAGCCAAGCAGGUAAAAGACGCUUGCAUUGACUGCAACAAGAGGGGACUCCAGGCUUUGCCCAUCGAAUCCAACCGAGCACGUCAAGGCUUCCAGGCUACCCCAGGUGGAGGAACCCAGCAGGAAACGAUGGUGAAAGGGGCUGGGGCAGAGAGGGAGAACAGCAGCCCGAGAGAAGAGGAGGAAGAGGGAUGGCAGCAGACGCCAACACCGCGGGAGCUGCGGCCGGCCGUUACAGGGACAUGGAGGCGUAGCUGGGCACUUUCAUCAUUGUGAGACUCUGCACAGGUCCAUGUUGUGUACAGCCAUUUUUAUACGAAGACAAGACAUUUUCACAACGCAAAUAAUUGUGUUUGUAUCAAUUCCUACAUAAACCUGCAUCGCAUUGGGCAGUUUCCUUCCAGCUCUGUGGGUAUUUAGAGUGGGCCAGGGAUGUCUGUCACUCUCCCUCCGUCAGUGAUGAGGUGGUGUGAACUGGUAGUGAUCUCUGUCACUUGCCAUGAAGUCAGCAGAGACUACGUGCAGUAAGCUUGUAACAGAACUUGUAAUUUUAUGUAAGGAGCACUUAAUACAUUUCCUUUUUCAACUCAAGUUGGCUUUGGUGUACUUCUCUCUCUGGGCAGCGCCACUGGGGCAAAGGUGCAGUCAGUUAAACUGGAACUGAAACAAGUCUUGGUCUGUGUCAUUGGGAGCAAUUAGCAGAUGCCUGCCUUAGGAUCCAGGAGGGCUUGGCAAAGAGUGCUGCUGGGACCUGAGGGAAAACAGGCAGGCCUGCCCGGUUGCAUAAAGACAGGCCAAGAACCGUAAACUGGUCUGGGCAGGUGGCACAGCCACAUGUUUGGGGAGAGGGCACUACAAGGGCCUGCUAAGGAAAGCUCCAGGUGCCAUUGGGAAAGUGGGCAAAGGAAAGAAACCCCAAGGCAAGAGGGCAUCUCCCUUCUUUUGGGAUAGCCCAUCCCAAACUCGUCUGUGCUACUGUGGAAGGGGGAUGCAGCAAGGCUCUGUGCCUGGGGACACCAGGGAGGCCACCUGCCCCUUGCUGCUCACCUCUGCUCUCUGCAGCCGGGGCACCACCCUGCGCCCACGGAUCAGCCUGGCCCUGGACCAGCAGCGGGUGCUUUGCGCCGGGAAGGAGGCGACGCUGCAGACACAGCAAGAGCAGCAGCAGGAAGGCUGUGAUGAGGGUGCCGCAUCCAUCAUCCUCAUCGGGCCCAGCUGCUCCUUCAUUGCCCCUUUUGGAACACAUCACAAUAAAGCUUCCCAGUCCUUGCAGGAAUACAAGGAAUUCUACAAGUCUGAAUGCCAGUAGUGACAGCUGGAUAAUCAGUCUGCAGCUCAUCCAGGAGGAGGUGAGCUAUGGAGGACUGUCAUGGUUUGACAUGGAAGGGAAUUGCCUGGGAAGGAAGAGGGUCAAGCCAGUCAGUGAUUGAGAUUGGAUAUUGGCACUUGGGCUGAUCAGUUGAAGGCUGGACACACCUCUGAGAACACAGAGGGGUUAAAAGCCAGAACUCCCAGGGGAACUUUCUCUCUUUGGUUCUGGUCAGGGUGCAGUGCAGACUCGCCCCUGCCCGUCCCGUGGCUGAGUGGGGGAAGGGAGCCAUGCGGCCCAGCUUGAGGUAGGCCGAAGGGUGGAGGGACUGGAACCGGGACAGCUCCCUGCAGAUGGAAGGGUGGAGAAAUCUGGGAUGUCUCUGUUCCCCCACCAGAGUCCUUCUGGAGAGAGAGAGAAAGAGACAGCGACUGUCUGCCAGCAGUACACCAGCAGAGGAGGUGGAAGCAGGGGGAACAGUGUGGGAGCUGGAGGCCUCAGCCAAGGAGUCAGGACUUUUAACCCGUCCUUGAGAAAUGAAGGCUUUGUGAAAUAUUACUCCUACUCAGUUUGAAAGAGAGGAAGAGAGACAGCCUGGGACCUGGGAUGUUAAGAAAAUAUGGUGGGGGGAAGAUGAUGGCUUUUUGGCUGGACUUUUUCUUGUUAGCCAUAGACAGAACAAAUUUUCUCCUCCAAGAGAGAGACUGUAUUUUAGGAGGAUGCGUGGUGAGCCAAGAGACCUACUUCAGCAGCUGAGGAAAAAAGACAGGAGUGGAGUGAACAGAGAAGAGUUGAAGAGGUUUGUGGUGACACCCCCUGUCUUCAGAGAAGAAGAGAAGAAGAUCUCUGUUCCUGAGACCCUCAGCCCCAGGGGAGGAAGAAAAUGGGGGGUACUGUGGUCCCAAAAAUGAAAAACUGAACUGUUGUUUUUCCCCUCUUGGCAGAGCAUCUUUGAAGGAAAAAUCCUAAAAGCAGUCUGUCCAUCCAUGCAUUGGUGGUGAGAGCACUGUGCAUGGAAAGGAGAGAGUCACCAUGGCAAACUUUUUCUCCGGGCAAUGCCAUGUGUGACAUGGAAACACAAAGAGUGGCAGCUGUGUUUCUUGGGGGGUCCAUGGCACAGGAGAGACUCCUCUCUUCCUCGAUGGACUGAGUAUUAUCUGAAGGGUGGGGACCUGAUUGGGGGUCCAAGUUGUGCCUCACUGUGGUUUGUUGGAAUUGGUGGGGGGAGAAGGAAUGUUUUGGAAGGUUUUCAUUUUGGAUUUAGUGGGUUUUUUUUCCUUUCUUUUCCCUUUUAUAGUAGUAGUAGUUUAAUAAAGUUUCUCCUUUGUUAUUAAGCUUGGGCCUG
Long non-coding RNA from Chloebia gouldiae (Gouldian finch), 2663 nucleotides. Lineage: Eukaryota; Metazoa; Chordata; Aves; Passeriformes; Passeridae. The record is from Ensembl.